RNAcentral lists this ribosomal RNA (850 nucleotides) under uncultured beta proteobacterium. RNAcentral describes it as "bacterial SSU rRNA". It matches the Rfam family "Bacterial small subunit ribosomal RNA", at positions 58 to 905 of the family's 1533-position model. The record is from RNAcentral. Lineage: Bacteria; Pseudomonadati; Pseudomonadota; Betaproteobacteria.
CAAGUCGAACGGGGUGGAGGGGCAACUCUCCAUUCAGUGGCGAACGGGUGAGUAAUGCAUCGGAACGUGUCCCGUAGUGGGGGAUAACGCCGCGAAAGCGGCGCUAAUACCGCAUACGCUCUGAGGAGGAAAGCAGGGGACCCGCAAGGGCCUUGUGCUAGGGGAGCGGCCGAUGUCCGAUUAGCUAGUUGGUGGGGUAACGGCCUACCAAGGCUACGAUCGGUAGCUGGUCUGAGAGGAUGAUCAGCCACACUGGGACUGAGACACGGCCCAGACUCCUACGGGAGGCAGCAGUGGGGAAUUUUGGACAAUGGGGGCAACCCUGAUCCAGCCAUGCCGCGUGCGGGAAGAAGGCCUUCGGGUUGUAAACCGCUUUUAGCCGGGAAGAAAAGGCGCGGGCUAAUACCCCGUGUUUUUGACGGUACCGGCGGAAUAAGCACCGGCUAACUACGUGCCAGCAGCCGCGGUAAUACGUAGGGUGCGAGCGUUAAUCGGAAUUACUGGGCGUAAAGCGUGCGCAGGCGGUUCGUUGUGUCGGUGGUGAAAGCCCCGGGCUCAACCUGGGAAUGGCCAUGGAAACUGGCGAACUGGAGUGUGGCAGAGGGGGGUGGAAUUCCGCGUGUAGCAGUGAAAUGCGUAGAGAUGCGGAGGAACACCGAUGGCGAAGGCAGCCCCCUGGGCUAGCACUGACGCUCAGGCACGAAAGCGUGGGGAGCAAACAGGAUUAGAUACCCUGUAGUCCACGCCCUAAACGAUGUCAACUAGGUGUUCGGGAAGCGAUUUCUGGGUACCGUAGCUAACGCGUGAAGUUGACCGCCUGGGGAGUACGGCCGCAAGGUUAAAACUCAAA